RNAcentral lists this ribosomal RNA (253 nucleotides) under uncultured bacterium. RNAcentral describes it as "partial 16S ribosomal RNA". It matches the Rfam family "Bacterial small subunit ribosomal RNA", at positions 524 to 776 of the family's 1533-position model. The record is from RNAcentral.
UACGUAGGGUCCGAGCGUUGUCCGGAAUUAUUGGGCGUAAAGAGCUCGUAGGCGGUUUGUCGCGUCUGCCGUGAAAGUCCGGGGCUCAACUCCGGAUCUGCGGUGGGUACGGGCAGACUAGAGUGAUGUAGGGGAGACUGGAAUUCCUGGUGUAGCGGUGAAGUGCGCAGAUAUCAGGAGGAACACCGGUGGCGAAGGCGGGACUCUGGGCCGAUACUGACGCUGAGGAGCGAAAGCGUGGGGAGUAAACAGG